UGCAGCGUUCCUGUCGGAAGUUCAUCCAUGGCUCCUAGACAGAUGUAGGCCUUGCUUGGAGCAACUUUGCAUGCACAAAAAGCGUGGAACUCGCUCUUGGUGAGUGAGGACUGGUUACUUGGCAUUAUUGAAAGUACUAUUGUAUUCAGGAUUGUAGCGUGUAUCUCGGUCAAGCUUGAAGGCAUCAAAUGUGUGCAUGGUAAUUCUUCACAGAUUUAACUUGCGAUGACACUACUGCUCCAGACGUCUUCAAUUGCUAACCCCAUUAAA
Molecule: long non-coding RNA, 270 nt
Organism: Lolium perenne
Lineage: Eukaryota; Viridiplantae; Streptophyta; Magnoliopsida; Poales; Poaceae
Source: RefSeq, a predicted model, not a curated record